Mirounga angustirostris (Northern elephant seal) is the source of this 4179-nucleotide long non-coding RNA. RefSeq lists it as uncharacterized. The record is from RefSeq and is a predicted model, not a curated record. NCBI's taxonomy places the organism in Eukaryota, Metazoa, Chordata, Mammalia, Carnivora, Phocidae. The transcript is spliced from 2 exons.
GACAGCGAGAGAGAGGGAACACAAGCAGGGGGAGUGGGAAAGAGAGAAGCAGAUUUCUUGCACAGCAGGGAGCCCAAUGUUGGGCUCCAUCCCAGGACCCUGGGAUCAUGACCUGAGCCAAAGGCAGACGCCUAAUGGCUGAGCCACCUGGGCACCCCGCAAAUGAAGUCUUUAAAAAAAAAAAUUAGCGGUGCUGGUUAAACAUUAAAACACCUGGACCAUACCUCAAUUUGAAUCACAAUCUCUAGAAGGAGGUACCAGGAAUCUGCUUAUUUAACAAAACUGGAGUUAAUAGUGCGUUUUGUUUUUUUAAGAUUUUAUUUGAGAGAGGCAGGGGGAGGAGCGGAAGGAGAGAGACAAGCAGACUCAUUGAGCGCAGAGCCCCACACGGCUUGAUCUCAUGACCCCAAGAUUGUGACCUGAGCCAAAAUCAAGGGGUGGGUGCUCAACUGACUGAGCUUACCCAGGUGCCCCAAACUCAGUAGUUUAAAAACUAACAUAAUACAGCAAUAUGUAGUAAGAAACAAGUAUGGGGGCACCUGGGUGGCUCAGUCGGCUGAGAGUCUGCCUUUGGCUCAGGUCCUGGAUCCUGGGGUCCUGGGAUUGAGCCCCAUUUCGGGCUCCCUGCUCAGUGGGAAGUCUGCUUCUCCCUCUCCCUCUGGCCCUCCCCCCUGCCCCCCACUCGUGCGCUCACUCUCUCUUGAAUAAAUAAAAAAACCUUAAGUAUGUUAUCAUACCUUUUCAUUAAUUCACUUAGUUACCCAGGUGUACAGGUACAGUGGUAGACCCUAAGGAUGCAGUGGUUAGGAAUCGUUCAUUUGGAGAGUGAAUCCAGUAACAGUGAGAAAAACCAGUGUUGUGAGAUGUAUUUAGAAAAGCAGAAACCAAUGUGUGUGUACAUACAUGUAUACACAUUCACAAUGAUACACUGUAGAGUUAAAACCAGGAAAAUCCCUGUGCUUUGACCCAAAAUUCUGUCCCCUGCUCUUAGCAGAUGAAAGUAAAGACAGCUUGUGUACAUAGGUAGUCAUCAUUUGCCCCAACCAGGCCUCAGCACUUAGAGAAGAAAUCUGACCUGAGAGAAAAAAAGUAAUACCUAGAAAAUUAAGCACUUUACAUUUGUCUAUAUUUAAAAUGGGGAGUUAAUCUGAGUCAAGGACAUUGGAAAAUCUAAGAUGCAAAUGUUUUAUAGGCUUGAGUUCUGUUUGCCGACAGGGUUGUGGUUAACAGAUACACCAGCUAUACACCUGUGACCUCAAGCCUUAGCCUUCCUAGCCACCUCAUUUUCUGUCCAGAACCUGUUCUCCCACUCAAUAUCUCCACCCAUUUCCCUCUGCUCCCCCAAACUCAGACCUGUAACCCCCAGCCCGGUAGUUGUGAGAGAAACAAACAGUAUGUCAGCAGAACUUCAAACUUUUUAGAAUCGUUUCAGUAUUUUACCCUUUUGGUCAUCUUAUCCCCCUUACCCCUUUUUUCCGUGAAGUCUUCCUAUCUUUAAGGAUGGACUUCAUGGAAGGGAAGGGCCAGUUCACCUAGAACAAAAUAUCUGGGGGUCUGGGAGGGGGACAUAAAACAGCUGCUUAUCAGAGCAAAAGGGGGAGAAGUCAUUUUGAUAGCGAAGAGAGAUUAGGCAGGAACAGAGUAGAAUAGAAGGCAUCAGCCAGGUCCCUCAGUGACCUCCCUAGGGUUCAUCCUGAGGCUGGACAAGUAGAGGAUGAUUAGUGAGAGCAGGAACUCCAGGUAGGUUAAAUAGGAAGCUAAAGGCAGAGAAGGCUUAAGCCUCACUUCUAUUUGGAAUGCUGCAAAGUAAUCCUAUGACCACAUGGGCUAGUAAAGCACAGCAGAAAUUGAGGCAUAUCAUGUUUUGGCACAGAGGGACACAGAUUUUAUGCACACACACACAUACACACACACUCCACAGGAUUUGCUUUGAUUCCUAGAUGGCAAAAGAGGGACACCAGUUGAGUGCUAAUGGGCUUGCCAUGGGGUCACCAUGGUGAAAGGGAAGGUUACUGCAUAGCAGAGGUUGUAAGGUAGAUAGCCCAGCAAUGCAGUAACCUUGCUGGUCUUGGAAAGGUGGAAGUGAAAGAAAGACCUUUUAGAAAAAACAGCCCUAAUAAGGGGUCUGACCUUUAACUGAAUAAUUAUUUCCCUUAAAUUAGACCAUUUAAAACUGGAAAAGACCAACUUGCAUUUCACUUGGCAAGUUUAUGUGGUUUUUUUCUACCAUCACUGGGAAUGGGAACUUAGGAGAAAGAGGGAUAUGGGAAUCUGAGAGCCCCUGGAAGUCCCCAUAAAAGCAAAGGUGAGGCAAAUACAACCAAAUCAUAAGUUUUAGGUGGAGGUGGCCCCAGUGGGCUUGGGGUCUUCAUUUGGUAGAUCAGGUAGGUUUUUAUCUAGAUCAUUUCUUCCUAUCUGUGUUUCAGAUUGGCACCAAUUCUGUGUACAGUUCAGACUCCAGAACUCUGUGAUCAGGCCCUGCUUCCGUGGCUUCCUUUCACCUGAGAGCCUUCCUCUAGUGAAUCUCUUGCACAAGAAUUCCUGGCUGGGCCUGUCUUUUAGGGACAUGAUCUAAAAUGGUUGAGCUGCAGCUGGAGCAGAGAUUUACAUCACCCAGACAUCCUUGGCUUAGAUUUUGAUGCAGUAAGUAAUGAGACAUACAGUUACCUCCUUCUGAGGAAUGGGUGAAACUUUUUCAUUUUAGAACAGCUGCAUUCUGUUAGGCAGUAUGUUUUAAAGUAUACGUAUGUGAACAAAAUAGCCAUGGGGUGAAUUAUAAUGGACCCUUUUGUUAAACGACACAGCUUCACUUUGCCCUCUUCAAUAGUACCCAGCUUUGCUUUUGCAGUUUUUCUCUCGCAGCUGUAUGUAGACUUGACAAGAUAGAAAUCCUGGUCCUGGGAGAGUCCUUCUCACACCAAGAGAGUAAGCAUUUGCACCAGGCUUGCCUAACCUGAGGAUUUGUCCUGGGAAUUUAAAUCUUGAGCAGAAUGAUUGCAGGCAAGUUACAAUGAUCGCGGUAAGUUUGUGGGUUUUUGUUGUUUGUUUGUUUUUUCAGCAGCACUAGUAGAAGAAACCUUUGGGCAGUUUCUAGAACUGCCCAAUUGCCUUUUAGAAGUCUUGUUCCCAGCCUCUCCUUCUAUCCAGAGAGGUUUUUCAUAGCUUUUCAAAAAGUUUCUUUGCUUAAGUUAGCCAGUCACUAUCUGUACAGGCAGCCUUGCUAACUUCAGAGAGGACAACAAAAGUCUGGGUAGCAGCUGCUUGCUCCACCUCAGCAGCCAUUGCUGCCAACCAGCGUCACUUGGGCCUUCCCAGUUUGGCCAUCUGGGGCAUAAAUCAGUCAUUUUCUGGGGGACUGCGGGCCCUAUCUCGAGGCUGCCACUGAACAUCCGAGGCAACCAGCAACAUGCCUCAAGUUUUCGCUUUUGCCUCCUCUUUCAGACUUGAACAAAAUGCCACACCUCACAGAGAAGAGAACUGACUUCUGGAGCAGCUACCACAGCGGCUGGAUGAUGCCAUGUGGAAGGAAAGAGGAGUCAGUUCCGGAGGGGAAAGCUCCGACCAAAGGGUAAUCAAAGCAAGGAAAGAGAUGUGCCGCUGGGUAGAUCUCAGUAUUCAAACUUGUCUGUGGACUUAAUUAUGCAAAUUGUAGCUAAUUGCUUCUGGAGACACACAAACACACAGCAUGGAGGGUGAAUGGGGUCCUCUGGGUGCUGAAUCUUGAUCCUUUCCAAAAUGACAGCAGUGGAGUCUCCUGGGUUCUGCACCUGUUAAUUCAGGCCCACACUGCCUGUGUGGUGAGUAUUUAGGGGUUCCAGGCUAAAGGGCAAACUGGGGAUCUUUCUUUAUCCUGUUAUUUUCAUAAAGAGAUAUAAGUGACAUACUAUGUGUUUAUAUAGCAAGGUCUGUUUUUAAUACCAAAUAGUUUAUAUCUUUAUGCAUUUAUAUUUCUAGUAAUACAGUUCUCAGAAUCCUUGACUUUGUGCAUUAUAACAUUACAUUAGCAACAGUUGUGGUCCCCAUCCCACCUCCACCCCACCUUUUAAGCUGCUUAACAAAAAAGAUACAGUUCUCUGAUUCACUUUUGCUUUCCUUCCAAUGGGUAGAAGAGAGAAGGCUGUAUGUUUGGUUCUUUAUUUUUUAAUUAAGCCAUUGAAAUAAAAUUCUCUGUCAAACUUC